This is a small nuclear RNA of Tachysurus fulvidraco (yellow catfish), 157 nucleotides long. RefSeq annotates it as U1 spliceosomal RNA. The record is from RefSeq and is a predicted model, not a curated record. The transcript has a single exon. NCBI's taxonomy places the organism in Eukaryota, Metazoa, Chordata, Actinopteri, Siluriformes, Bagridae.
AUACUUACCUGGCAAGGGCAAUACCAUGGUCAAGGAGGUUGUUUGCCCAUAGCGAGGCUCAGCCAUUGAACUCAGGCUGUGCUGAUCUUUGUGAAUUCCUUCAAAUGCGUGAAUCUCUCCUCGUGAUAGUGGGGGGCUGCGUUCAUGCUCUCCUCUU